AUUCGCGGCCUAUCAGCUUGUUGGAGAGGUAACGGCUCACCAAGGCUUCGACGGGUAGCUGGUCUGAGAGGAUGAUCAGCCACACUGGAACUGAGACACGGUCCAGACUCCUACGGGAGGCAGCAGUGGGGAAUCUUGCACAAUGGGCGAAAGCCUGAUGCAGCGAUGCCGCGUGCGGGAAGAAGGCCUUAGGGUUGUAAACCGCUUUCAGGAGGGAAGAAAAUGACGGUACCUCCAGAAGAAGGUGCGGCCAACUACGUGCCAGCAGCCGCGGUGACACGUAGGCACCAAGCGUUAUCCGGAUUUAUUGGGCGUAAAGAGCUCGUAGGCGGUUUGGUAAGUCGGGUGUGAAAACUCUGGGCUCAACCCAGAGAGGCCACUCGAUACUGCUAUGACUAGAGUACGGUAGGGGAGCGGGGAAUUCCUGGUGUAGCGGUGAAAUGCGCAGAUAUCAGGAGGAACACCAGCGGCGAAGGCGCCGCUCUGGGCCGUAACUGACGCUGAGGAGCGAAAGCAUGGGUAGCAAACAGGAUUAGAUACCCUGGUAGUCCAUGCCGUAAACGUUGGGCACUAGGUGUGGGUCUCAACCAACGAGAUCCGCGCCGUCGCUAACGCAUUAAGUGCCCC
This 627-nucleotide ribosomal RNA is filed under the name uncultured Actinomycetes bacterium. RNAcentral describes it as "bacterial SSU rRNA". It matches the Rfam family "Bacterial small subunit ribosomal RNA", at positions 229 to 870 of the family's 1533-position model. Lineage: Bacteria; Bacillati; Actinomycetota; Actinomycetes. The record is from RNAcentral.